Molecule: ribosomal RNA, 740 nt
Filed under: Caliadurgus hyalinatus
Lineage: Eukaryota; Metazoa; Arthropoda; Insecta; Hymenoptera; Pompilidae
Description: SSU rRNA
Rfam family: Eukaryotic small subunit ribosomal RNA
Source: RNAcentral
AGCCAUGCAUGUCUCAGUGCAUGCCGAAAUAAGGUGAAACCGCGAAUGGCUCAUUAAAUCAGUUAUGGUUCCUUGGAUCCUACAAAAAUUUACUUGGAUAACUGUGGUAAUUCUAGAGCUAAUACAUGCAAACCAGAGUUCCUCUCAGAGAUGGGAGGAACGCUUUUAUUAGAUCAAAACCAAUCGGUGGCGGGUGGCUUGCUACUCGUCCAUCGUUUGCUUUGGUGACUCUGAAUAACUUUGUGCUGAUCGCACGGUCUUAGUACCGGCGACGCAUCCUUCAAAUGUCUGCCUUAUCAACUGUCGAUGGUAGGUUUUGCGCCUACCAUGGUUGUAACGGGUAACGGGGAAUCAGGGUUCGAUUCCGGAGAGGGAGCCUGAGAAACGGCUACCACAUCCAAGGAAGGCAGCAGGCGCGCAAAUUACCCACUCCCGGCACGGGGAGGUAGUGACGAAAAAUAACGAUACGGGACUCAUCCGAGGCCCCGUAAUCGGAAUGAGUACACUUUAAAUCCUUUAACAAGGAUCCAUUGGAGGGCAAGUCUGGUGCCAGCAGCUGCGGUAAUUCCAGCUCCAAUAGCGUAUAUUAAAGUUGUUGCGGUUAAAAAGCUCGUAGUUGAACCUGUGUGCCACACUGUCGGUACACCGCUCGUCGGUGUUUACUGACACGAUGUGGGACGUCCUACCGGUGGGCUUAGCUUUGCCUUGUGCUUGGCGGUCCAACUAUACAUCCCAUCGCG